This is a regulatory RNA element of Pedobacter africanus, 88 nucleotides long. It matches the Rfam family "TPP riboswitch aptamer (THI element)". Rfam says of the family: Vitamin B(1) in its active form thiamin pyrophosphate (TPP) is an essential coenzyme that is synthesised by coupling of pyrimidine and thiazole moieties in bacteria. The previously detected thiamin-regulatory element, thi box was extended, resulting in a new, highly conserved RNA secondary structure, the THI element, which is widely distributed in eubacteria and also occurs in some archaea. Analysis of operon structures identified a large number of new candidate thiamin-regulated genes, mostly transporters, in various prokaryotic organisms. Lineage: Bacteria; Pseudomonadati; Bacteroidota; Sphingobacteriia; Sphingobacteriales; Sphingobacteriaceae. The record is from Rfam.
AAAAAACUUUAGGGGUGCCUUGCGCUGAGAUAUACCCUUUGAACCUGAUGCAGUUAGUACUGCCGAAGGGAAAAGUAGAAGCAAAUCU